Non-coding RNA from Schistosoma curassoni, 45 nucleotides. NCBI's taxonomy places the organism in Eukaryota, Metazoa, Platyhelminthes, Trematoda, Strigeidida, Schistosomatidae. The record is from Rfam.
AUCCAACUGACGAGUCUCAGGUGGGGCGAAACGUGCGUACUGGAU